This 575-nucleotide ribosomal RNA is filed under the name uncultured bacterium. RNAcentral describes it as "bacterial SSU rRNA". It matches the Rfam family "Bacterial small subunit ribosomal RNA", at positions 57 to 651 of the family's 1533-position model. The record is from RNAcentral.
GCAAGUCGAACGCGAAUCGGUAGCUUGCUACCGAGGAAAGUGGCGGACGGGUGAGUAAUAUGUAGAGAAUCUGCCCUAGAGAGGGGGACAACAGCUGGAAACGGUUGCUAAUACCCCAUAUGAGCGUACCUGAAAUGGUAUUCUUGAAAACUCCGGUGCUCUAGGAUGAGUCUGCAUCUGAUUAGCUAGUUGGGGGUGUAAUGGACCACCAAGGCGACGAUCAGUAGCUGGUUUGAGAGGAUGAUCAGCCACAAUGGGACUGAGACACGGCCCAUACUCCUACGGGAGGCAGCAGUAGGGAAUUUUGCGCAAUGGGCGAAAGCCUGACGCAGCAACGCCGCGUGAUUGAUAAAGCCCUUCGGGGUGUAAAGAUCUGUCAGUGGGGACGAAACUUGACGGUACCCACAGAGGAAGCACCGGCUAACUCCGUGCCAGCAGCCGCGGUAAUACGGAGGGUGCAAGCGUUGUCCGGAAUCAUUGGGCGUAAAGAGUUCGUAGGUGGUUUGUUAAGUUUGGUGUUAAAUGCAGAGGCUCAACUUCUGUUCGGCAUCGGAUACUGGCAGACUAGAAUGCGG